Molecule: transfer RNA, 75 nt
Filed under: Candidatus Gemmiger excrementavium
Lineage: Bacteria; Bacillati; Bacillota; Clostridia; Eubacteriales; Oscillospiraceae
Description: tRNA-Gly
Rfam family: tRNA
About the family: Transfer RNA (tRNA) molecules are approximately 80 nucleotides in length. Their secondary structure includes four short double-helical elements and three loops (D, anti-codon, and T loops).
Source: RNAcentral
GCAAGCGUCGUACAAUGGCCAGUACAUCAGCCUUCCACGCUGAGAACGGGGGUUCGGCUCCCCUCGCUUGCUCCA